Molecule: long non-coding RNA, 615 nt
Organism: Hyla sarda
Lineage: Eukaryota; Metazoa; Chordata; Amphibia; Anura; Hylidae
Exons: 3
Source: RefSeq, a predicted model, not a curated record
GUGGCAUCAUGAUCAAGUUUCCAGCUCUGAAAAGAAGUGCUGCUUAGUCAGAGGAGGAGAAAGCUGAACAAGGACCCCUCUGUGUAUUGUAUACCCAUCUUUUCAGUAUCUAUGCUGGGGUUGGUGCUGUUAUCAAAGGAGCGAAGCUAAAGACUUUCAAGGCUGCCCUGGUCUACUACUCUUCCUGUAAGAUGGGAAGGAAAUUGACAGCUAACAUGAUCCAGUUAGACUUGCUGUUUAUAUUCGAUUAGAGAUAUUCAAACCUCCAACCAACAGUGACAUUCGCCAUUAAUUUCUUUUAUAAAAGGAGGCUGCCUAAAUCCUGUGAUUUUUUUGUAAUUAUAAUCUUUUGUAUACAAGUUUGGUAUGUUUAUUCUUCAGCACAUCUACCUAUCACUCGUUUUCAUGUUGCAGCAGUAAAAUGCAUUGCGUAAGCGCUCCCUGUUUCUUUGUUAGGCAUUCAUGGCAACCGAGCCGAGCUGACAUUUUCAGUCAGUGCUGGAUGCGUGAAAGAAGUGGAAAAAGGAAGCCAGAAGAAGCGCAUAGUGCGAAAUGGAUGUUGCUUCACCUGGUGGAAUACACCUAAUGUCUGUCUAUUACUGCUGUUUGGUGACA